Cataglyphis hispanica is the source of this 3408-nucleotide long non-coding RNA. RefSeq lists it as uncharacterized. The record is from RefSeq and is a predicted model, not a curated record. The transcript is spliced from 3 exons. Lineage: Eukaryota; Metazoa; Arthropoda; Insecta; Hymenoptera; Formicidae.
GAAAUUACAAGGGAAAAAGCGCGAAUGAGAUAUUCCAUCAUCGCGAAAUUGCGACGCUAUCUUUUUUCGGAUUUUUCUACUUUCGAUGUACAUUCAGGUGAAAAGAAAAACAGAAAAAUUAUAAGCAAGCGAGAAUAAUUCAUGAUUUAUUGUCGCAUUUAUUUCUUAUUUUUCUCCUCCCUUCUAUUUACUCUCAUUUAAAUAUUAAUCCUUUGAGGACGGUAGAUAUAUAUAUAUAUAUACGUUUUAAGAUCUUUUUUCAAAAAAUGACAAACAUAUAUGUAUAUAAGUUUUUAAUUUUUAUCGAUAAAUGUCAUUUUUUAUGUUUUUCACUCAUUUUCCUCCUAAAAUUUGAAGUUUUCUGAAAAUGGAAUCAAUUUGUGAUUUAAGAGUUCAAUUGAUCAGAGAAAUUAUCACUCAACAUGCGAAAUCAAUUGGAAGAAGAACAAGUAUAGGAGAACAUCCGGAAAGAUUUAUUGAUUCAUUUCUCUUCUCUCAAUUCAUUCAAUUUGAGCCUGGUAAAAAAGAAAAACAAAGAAGAUGUGUCUAUAUCAAUGAGAAAAGAAAAGAUCAGAGUCAAGCGGCAGAGAAAGAGAGAGAGAAAAGGAGAGAGAGAGAGAGAAAGAGAGAAACCUACCUCCGUCUUGAGAUAUUUGCACCGGUUGCCCGUUUUGUCCUAUGCCGAGCAAGACCCCUGGACUGGGCGAAUAAAUGACACUCUGAGGCAUCUGGUACAUCAUCCCUGCAGAGAACGAAGGCACAUUUCCUAGGAAAUCAAAGAGAAAUUGAACUUGAGUGGCGCCUAACGUCAACAAUUGACGUGGUCGAAGAUGUAUAUGCUGAGAAAAACUUAGGAAUGACGGUCUCGAGCCGAGACUUCAAUCCAGACCACCCAGGUGCGAGUGCAUUGCGCUCUGAUUCACCGAAUCUCCACACGUUUAACAUAAAAUCACUACAUAUGCAUAUUUCUUAGAAAAAUACGGUAAGUUUUUCAAGGAACGAAUCGCCGGCGCGAAAAUAAUUAAACAAUGAAAAUUGUAAUCUCUUCUUCGAGGAUCACCGCGAGAGAUAAUCUUGAUACUUUUCAAACUGAUCUGAAUUGACUUGCGACAUAUAAUAUCAUUUUAUAUAAAGCCUUCCAAGAAAUAUCGUAUUCCGAUAACAAGAGUACUUGAAUCCAAGAAGGGAGAGAUUAGCAAGUUCGUGUUAGCGGAGCAAACAUUUCCUUCCACCUUACAUAUUCAACUAUAGAUGUAUCAGUCUUCGGAAAGCAAUUAUAAGGUAUAUAUAUUUUUUUUUAUGCGUGCUUUCUUUCGGCUCAUUAAAUCGAUGGUGUGAGGUGCGUCUGUUAGGGGCGCAUCCAAAAACUCUCUCGGAAACAAUCAUAUUAUGUAGAGUGUAUACGUACACACACAUACACGGAGGAGAAAACAUAUCGUAACGUCUUUCGCGUACGCUUUCUGCAUUCGAACGAGCAAACGCUCCUAAUUAAAAGUGACUCGCACGGCCAACGUCCAUCCAUUCGCUCAUGAUAAUGGGACCUCUCGCGCGGACGCGCGCCUUCGUUAUAUCGCAGGGAUGUAUUAUACAUUUGUUCGCUCUCUCUCGCGAAUACGGAGGGGCAUAACAACCGGUGGGAUUAUUAUCGAAUUGGAACGGGCCCUGUUCGACGAGAUCGCGAGGAGAAAAAAAAAAUCGACGCGCUCGCGUCUCGGACAGCGCGGCGGCGCGAUAGAAUGGCAUCCACGCGACAUAUUAGCAUCGAUAUUUAUGUGUACACCUGCACCGCCGCGCCGUUUUCUGCGGCGGCUUUCGCGACCGGAUCCUACUUCCCAGUUAGGCAGCACGGUUGUCGUCUAAGUUUGGUCAUCGUCGGCCGUACGCGACUCCUUACGGGCUCCCUACACGGAUAACCCCGUCAUCGUUUGCACGCCUUUCGCAUUUUAAGAGCAUCCUCUCCCCUUCCCCCUGCUUCCUCCACGUGUUCUCUUCCUCCUCCUUUAUCUCUCUCCCACCUUUUUCUCACGCUUCGUUCCUUCUGGUCUGUCUCCUCUCCCUCAAGCAUCAAAGUUACCUCCUCUCGGCCGGUGGAUAUGUUUACCUGUCUACUCACUUACCUGCGCGUCUUGAACAGCUGUUCAUUAUCAGCCGCGAUGAGGUCAAGCGCGACACAAAUGGUGAUCGGCGACAAUUGAACGUGAUUAGCAUCAGAUGAGGCGAGGGAGGACGACGCGAAUCGAAACUGUUAACGCGCUAAACUGUCUAUUUUUUCUCAACCCUUAAUCGGUCGGGUAUAUAUAGGUCAUUUUGACCCUGUUGAUAUUUUAACAAUAGAAUAUCCCAAAGACCUUAAUCAAUAAAAAAGAAAUAUUUAAAAUUAUUUUUUAACUUUUGACAUGAUUAUUUUUUACAGAUAUCAAUCAAGGAAUAUAUAUAAUAUAAUUUUUGGUGGAUCUUUUCAAGUACUUUGAGAGCUAAGUGACUCAUAUGUGACCAGGAACAGAGCAAAAAAAUGUGUGAUCUACAAGGGUCAAUUUACUUCUUAAUCGCGAUAUUGAUUGAUAAACCAUGGGAUAAAUAAUUUCCAUUUUUCGAACAGAAGAAAAGAUACAUUGGCAAUAUGCGUAGAUUGAAAGUGAGUUUUGCGUUAAGAUUCUAAAGUUUCGUUACAUGGAAGGUCUAUUUCUCCAUUUGGAACAGCGAAAGGUACAUCAUGAAUAUAAUCACGGCCACGGUGAAUAACAGAAAAUCGACGUAACCGCAGAACUUAAUCUAACUAGAACUUCGCAGAAACUCCGGACGGUUAAUAAUUAUGCCUGCCUAGUGGUGAAUAAUACACGUGUUUGCUCCGCAAUAAUGUGACCGAUAUUCGCAAGUCUUUCGUCUCCUUCGUGAAGAGGAAACCACAUAAACCUCGUCAUUUGAAAAAAAGAUCGUGAAUCGAUGCGGUCGAAUCUAAUUCGAAACAUAAAUGUGCCAUUUUUAUAUCCAAUACACAUUUUCCUAUUAAGUAUUUAAAUGAUAAAUUUUCUACCGUUUUAAACGAACAUAUAGAAAAUAUUAGAAAUCUAUUGAAUAUCUAUAUUUUAAUUAAUUGAAUAUAGAGUCUAUUGCCAUGAAAAAAUUCGUCCUUCUGUCAAAACAAAAAAAGAUAUAUUUUUAUCCAAAUACACACGCGGGAUAUAUAAUGUUAUUUAAGAAAUACGCUUGUCGCCUCUAAUAUUUAAGAUGUUAUACAAUCCUUAUAUAAUUUUUCAAAAAAUAUAGAGUAUUCCAUAUAUAUUUUCUAUAUUUUUAUAGAAAAGAUUCCAAGAGGAGAAUGAAAAGUGGAUUUUCCGAAUUCUAAUCCAAGUAUGGCUUUCGACAGUUCUUUCGCAUUCCGCUACAAUGAACCGCGCAUAAUGAGAG